AUACGUAGGGGGCGAGCGUUGUCCGGAAUGAUUGGGCGUAAAGGGCGCGUAGGCGGCUUUGCAAGUCAGUAGUGGAAGUCCAUUUUUCAAGGAUGGAAGUGCUACAGAAACUGCGGAGCUUGAGUGCCGGAGAGGUUAUCGGAAUUCCCGGGGUAGCGGUGAAAUGCGUAGAGAUCGGGAGGAACACCAGUGGCGAAGGCGGGUAACUGGACUGCAACUGACGCUGAGGCGCGAAAGUGUGGGGAGCAAACAGGAUUAGAUACCCUGGUAGUCCACACUGUAAACGAUGAAUGCUAGGUGUAGGAGGUAUCGACCCCUUCUGUGCCGCAGUAAACACAGUAAGCAUUCCGCCUGGGGAGUACGGUCGCAAGAUUAAAACUCAAAUGAAUUGGCGGGG
RNAcentral lists this ribosomal RNA (397 nucleotides) under uncultured bacterium. RNAcentral describes it as "partial 16S ribosomal RNA". It matches the Rfam family "Bacterial small subunit ribosomal RNA", at positions 523 to 918 of the family's 1533-position model. The record is from RNAcentral.